GACAGAGGUGGCUAGCGUUGCUCGGAUUCAUUGGGUGUAAAGGGUGCGUAGGCGGUUUGAAAAGUCGGAUGUGAAAGCCCACAGCUCAACUGUGGAAAUGCAUCUGAAACUCUCAGACUUGAGUGCGAAAGAGGUGAAGGGAAUUCCCGGUGUAAGGGUGAAAUCUGCAGAGAUCGGGAGGAACACCAGUAGCGAAGGCGCUUCACUGGUUCGCAACUGACGCUGAGUGCACGAAGGCGUGGGGAGCAAACGGGAUUAGAUACCCUAGUAGU
RNAcentral lists this ribosomal RNA (272 nucleotides) under uncultured bacterium. Its description in RNAcentral is "partial 16S ribosomal RNA". It matches the Rfam family "Bacterial small subunit ribosomal RNA", at positions 524 to 794 of the family's 1533-position model. The record is from RNAcentral.